UUAGUUUUCCUUAUUUUCCUAAUUUUAGUUCUCUACGGUCUUCUAUUUUUAUUUUUGUUGUUCUUAUUUUGUAUAGGUCCUUUGGGUCCUGAUGAAAGUCACUGUCGGUGGCAGGGAAUUCGUCGCCGGAUGCGUCCUAUAUGUGAUGGGUGUGUUCCCAUCCAGUCGUUGGUGGGGUUGAUGUGCCCGUCGAUUUGGCGAUCCGCGGGCCAAGCUCAUCUUCUCAGUGGCGGACUGAUGUUCUAUGGUAGUGGCAGUCAUUGUAUGUGGUGGUGCGGUUGCUGAUGUACAGGAGGCGUCCAUGGUGUUAGUUCUCCAUCGUCCAUGCUUAUCUUCUAUAUGCUCUAGCAGCCAGGUGGCUCAAGAAAUAGAAGACGACUCAUGUUCAGCUGGUCCCUCAUCACCGGGAGGACGGGCGAGGAGGUCGAGGCCCACCGGGGUUCAUGAGGAGGUGUACGGGCGGCAAUCACUACAGCCAUCAUGUGCUACUGCAGGCUUUCCUAGCCUCGUCACAUGAUCAACACGGCGAGCAUCGGCAAAGGGCAGUGCCAAACCAAGUACGCGAGGAUUAAACAUGGCGACGACGACUGUGCAUCAUGGGACGCCUAUAGCAUGUGCCUUGCUGAAGUAAACAUGGAGCUCACCCUCUCUACGCCGUGCAUCACAUCUACUUAAUUUGGAGGGUUACACCAGGUGUUUAUAUACUUCGGUCGAUGGUUUCUGUGCCUUGAGGAACAAUCCUAUUAUUGUACUAUGCGUACUGACUAUAUAUGUAUGACGCAUAAAUCCUCACAAGUUGGAACCCAUCACUGCUCCUGCUCGACCAUGACUCCACGCGCAAGGUCUGCCUAGCCACGCGUAGGUCACGCCGCCGGCUGUCGAGCCUCCUGUUCCACCCUGUAGUGUGUUCGAACAGCCGAAGCUGAGUAUGCGAAGAUUCAUCCCCGGCCCAUCCUUGUUCAAUGCAUGGAAGCAAUGACUGCUGCUGGCUUUGAAGCUGGUUGAGGUUGCUGCUUGCCGUUGGUUGUAGGUAGAGGCCUUGUGGUGGUCCAAGAUUCUUACAUAGUGUUGUGCCUGGUUUCUUCUUAAAGGAUUUGUUGUGAAAGCUGGGAAUGUUAAGAGGAAUCUGCUUUGAGAGGUGUCGUAGUAUGAGAGGAAACGAUUUCUUCUAGGCCAGUGGUGUUCCUUUGCGCUAUAGCCAGUGCGCUAUCUCCUAGGUUAUCUCAUAUAAAGCCAUGAACCUAGCAUGAACUCGAAAUAUAAACCAUUGUAUAUGAAGAUGCUAUCUGAGUACGU
This is a long non-coding RNA of Triticum dicoccoides, 1296 nucleotides long. RefSeq lists it as uncharacterized. Lineage: Eukaryota; Viridiplantae; Streptophyta; Magnoliopsida; Poales; Poaceae. The record is from RefSeq and is a predicted model, not a curated record. The transcript has 8 exons.